ACGAAAGGAGACCGUAAAGGCAGAGCAAACGAAACUUGAGGAUGAAGAUGAAGAUGUGUUGAUAAGAUCUGGAACGUAAAAUGCAUAAAACUUAAAUUUUCUCGAUGUUGCAGAUACAUUCAUACAAAUGAUGUUGAAGAAACAAAGAGAAAAGGAACUUGGACUGUACCAGUUUGUUUGCAGCUUCUAAGAUUAUUAUUGAAAAAAGAGCACUUUGAAGUACUAGGAGAAUUUGAAAACAUCUUGGUGAAAAAGUCUGACUGGAUAUGACAGAACAUCAAAAUAAAUGACGAAAAAUUACACAUCUUAUCAAAAUAGCACUACUAGAAACUAAAAGCUACUUGCAAUUUUCACUGGUUUUGAGAUCAGUAACAGUCUGACAAGGAAAGAAUUUAAUGAACAUGAUUACGAUGCCUCUUGAUAAAUAUAAAAACAUAUUGACUGUAAAAUAAUUACCAGUUACCAAUUAUAUCUGUUGUUUACAAAAUUUGUUAUUUGGAAAUAUCUGUUGAAUGUUUUGAAAUUAAAAUGUGUUAACUUAAAUGAUUUAAGAAUUGAAGUCUUUAAAUGAUACAAAAGCAAGGAUACAUGGAAUGAUUGCA
Molecule: long non-coding RNA, 602 nt
Organism: Mytilus trossulus (common blue mussel)
Lineage: Eukaryota; Metazoa; Mollusca; Bivalvia; Mytilida; Mytilidae
Exons: 3
Source: RefSeq, a predicted model, not a curated record